GAUGAAGAACGCAGCGAAAUGCGAUAAGUAAUGUGAAUUGCAGAAUUCAGUGAAUCAUCGAAUCUUUGAACGCACAUUGCGCCCGCCAGUAUUCUGGAGGGCAUGCCUGUCUGAGCGUCAUUUCAACCCUCAUGCCCCUAGGGCGUGGUGUUGGGGAUCGGCCAAAGCCCGCGAGGGACGGCCGGCCCCUAAAUCUAGUGGCGGACCCGUCGUGGCCUCCCCUGCGAAGUAGUGAUAUUCCGCAUCGGAGAGCGACGAGCCCCUGCCGUUAAACCCCCAACUUUCCAAGGUUGACCUCAGAUCAGGUAGGAAUACCCGCUGAACUUAAGCAUAUCAAUAAGCGGAGGA
Molecule: unclassified non-coding RNA, 348 nt
Filed under: soil metagenome
Description: partial contains 5.8S ribosomal RNA, internal transcribed spacer 2, and large subunit ribosomal RNA
Rfam family: 5.8S ribosomal RNA (bases 1-120)
Source: RNAcentral